This 526-nucleotide ribosomal RNA is filed under the name Phylladiorhynchus pollux. RNAcentral's name for it is "partial large subunit ribosomal RNA". It matches the Rfam family "Bacterial large subunit ribosomal RNA", at positions 1830 to 2597 of the family's 2925-position model. The record is from RNAcentral. Lineage: Eukaryota; Metazoa; Arthropoda; Malacostraca; Decapoda; Galatheidae.
GUCUAUAUGAAGUUGUAUGUAGUCUAACCUGCCCCCUGAUAAAUUUUAAAGGCCGCAGUAUACUAACUGUGCGAAGGUAGCAUAAUAAUUUGUUUUUUAAUUGAAAGCUUGAAUGAAUGGUUGAACGAAGAAAAAGCUGUUUCUAAUCUUAAUUUGGAAAUUUAUUUUUAAGUUAAAAAGCUUAAAUGUUUUUAAAAGACGAUAAGACCCUGUAAAACUUUAUAUAUAUAUAUUUUUUAUUCUUUAUAUUGUGUAUAGCUUAAAAAAUACAAAAUUUUAUUGUGUUGGGGCGACAGGAAUAAAGUAUAAAAUUGAACUGUUCUUAUUUAAAACAAAAAUAUUUGGAGGUUGUUGCUAAAAAGAUCCUUAAUUUUUAAGAUUUGGAGUUUAAGUUACUUUAGGGAUAACAGCGUAAUUUUUUUAAAGAGUUCAUAUCCAAAAAAAAGUUUGCGACCUCGAUGUUGAAUUAAAAUUUCUUUUCGGUGCAGAAGCUGAAAAAGUAAAUCUGUUCGAUUUUUAAAAUUUU